GCCGGGGUGGUGGAAUUGGUAGACACCAGGGACUUAAAAUCCCUUGGCUGGUAACGGCCGUGCCGGUUCAAGCCCGGUCCCCGGCA
Molecule: transfer RNA, 86 nt
Filed under: Treponema sp.
Lineage: Bacteria; Pseudomonadati; Spirochaetota; Spirochaetia; Treponematales; Treponemataceae
Also listed under: 1 other name
Description: tRNA-Leu
Rfam family: tRNA
About the family: Transfer RNA (tRNA) molecules are approximately 80 nucleotides in length. Their secondary structure includes four short double-helical elements and three loops (D, anti-codon, and T loops).
Source: RNAcentral